GUGCCUAGAAGAUGAAUGGGUUCCCGAAAUGCAGGUCAUCUUUCUCACUUUGCCAAUUAGAUCUAAUUCUCCAUGUCUAGCUGGCCAUUCAAAGAUGCAACAUUU
This is a small nucleolar RNA of Cryptomeria japonica (Japanese cedar), 105 nucleotides long. RefSeq annotates it as small nucleolar RNA snoR99. Lineage: Eukaryota; Viridiplantae; Streptophyta; Pinopsida; Cupressales; Cupressaceae. The transcript has a single exon. The record is from RefSeq and is a predicted model, not a curated record.